Molecule: long non-coding RNA, 510 nt
Organism: Trifolium pratense (red clover)
Lineage: Eukaryota; Viridiplantae; Streptophyta; Magnoliopsida; Fabales; Fabaceae
Exons: 3
Source: RefSeq, a predicted model, not a curated record
UUGAGUCCAGAGGAAUCUGAGGAUGUUCUUUUCAAGGAGGCUUGGCUGGCUUAUUUUUGGAGAAGAGCCAAGGCUCAUGGUAUAGAGGAGGACAUCGCCAAAGAACGUCUUCAGUUUUGGAUUGGUCGGUGUGGGCAUUCACCUACUUCACACGAUGCUGUUGAUGUUGAACAAGGGCUUUCGGAGCUGAGGAAAUUGGGGAUUGAACACAGGCUUUGGGAAGGAUCCAGAAAAGAAGUUGAUCAAGAUUUCACUAUUGCAUCAAAAUUGACUACAAAACCUGAAAUUUGUGCUUGAGACAUUUUCCUUGUAUGCAUAUUUAAAUAAUGAAUUUCAUCUUUCUUCCGGAGAUGGUUGUAUUGAAUUUAGACUCUGAUCAAACUCUAGCUCUCGAUUCUCUAGCUACUUUAGAGAACAUUUGUCUGCUUUGAAUGACAUAGAACCUCUGUAAAAAAUCAUGAGUAUUAAUUUUAUUUUGACAAAUAGCAUUAAUCAAAGUUAUUGGAGUAA